This 72-nucleotide transfer RNA is filed under the name Ictidomys tridecemlineatus (thirteen-lined ground squirrel). RNAcentral describes it as "Spermophilus tridecemlineatus (thirteen-lined ground squirrel) tRNA". It matches the Rfam family "tRNA". From Rfam's summary of the family: Transfer RNA (tRNA) molecules are approximately 80 nucleotides in length. Their secondary structure includes four short double-helical elements and three loops (D, anti-codon, and T loops). RNAcentral also lists the same sequence under 1 other name. The record is from Rfam by way of RNAcentral. Lineage: Eukaryota; Metazoa; Chordata; Mammalia; Rodentia; Sciuridae.
GAGGAUGUAGCUCAGUGGUAGAGAGCACUUGCCUAGCAUGUGUAAGGCCCUGGGUUCUAGCCCAGCACUUCA